GACAAGCAGAAGUUACCUUGCUCCUAGAAGAAAGAGAAAGGACACUCCAAGAUGAAAACUGUGGGGCCGAGACACGUCGAAGUGUAAAGAGCAGCUCUGUGCUGCUGAAGGACGAUUGCCGGGCAUAGCCUCACGCUUGGGAGCUGCCUAGUGACAAGCUGUGUGGAGGGCUGAGCGUGUACCCAGAGCUGGCCCUGUCUUUUAAACUGACUGCUUCCUGGAAGCUCUCUCAGCUGAGACAUUCUGGGAUCCCAAGAGAGUAUGCUGAUCUCUUCAUUAUCUCAUCAUGUAUUGAUGUGGGAGUUGGACCAUGAAGAAGGCUGAACGCUGAAGAAUUGAUGCUUUCAAACUGUGGUGCUGGAGAAGACUCUUGAGAGUCCCUUGGACAGCAAGGAGAUCAAACCCAUCAAUCCUAAAGGAAAUAAACCCUGAAUAUUCACUGGAAGGACUGAUACUGAAGCUAAAGCGUCAAUACUUUGGCCACCUGAUGUGAAGAACUGAC
Molecule: long non-coding RNA, 502 nt
Organism: Bos taurus (domestic cattle)
Lineage: Eukaryota; Metazoa; Chordata; Mammalia; Artiodactyla; Bovidae
Source: Ensembl